RNAcentral lists this ribosomal RNA (270 nucleotides) under uncultured archaeon. Its description in RNAcentral is "partial 16S ribosomal RNA". It matches the Rfam family "Archaeal small subunit ribosomal RNA", at positions 477 to 747 of the family's 1478-position model. The record is from RNAcentral.
CAGCACCUCAAGUGGUCAGGAUGAUUAUUGGGCCUAAAGCAUCCGUAGCCGGCUCUGUAAGUUUUCGGUUAAAUCUGUAUGCUCAACAUACAGGCUGCCGGGAAUACUGCAGAGCUAGGGAGUGGGAGAGGUUGACGGUACUCGGUAGGAAGGGGUAAAAUCCUUUGAUCUAUUGAUGACCACCUGUGGCGAAGGCGGUCUACCAGAACACGUCCGACGGUGAGGGAUGAAAGCUGGGGGAGCAAACCGGAUUAGAUACCCGAGUAGUCC